GCCUCGGCUGAGGAGGACCAACAGCAAAACCGUGGGUUCGCUCCAAUGUUAAGGCGCGAGGUGAGGAGACUCGGAAGGUACUGUGUGCUGACUGCCGCCUGGUGGCGCGGGACUGACUUUUGUGUCUUUUUGGGGGGGUUUUAGGUCACAAAAUUCCCUGCGCAACAUUUCAGGUCCAUCCUUGAUCUAGGGAUCACGGUCUCAUUUCAUUCAAAAUGCCAUGGAAAAAGGAAAGAUGAGCUUGGAUGCCGGAGGGCGAUGACGUCGCAUGCUUCUCUGAAUCGGCCGGGGGAGAUGGAAGGUUCAAGUUCCAUCGUAUUCCCCAAAGCGACGCCCGACGGCUGCAAGAGACGUCCAACGAUCCAAGCGGGGCGUGGCGGGUGUGCUGCGCUCACUUGAGGACGGGCUCGGGGGUGAGCAUGGUGCAGUCGAUCUCCAGGAUCUGCUCCUCCUGGAUGAAGUGCUGCCUCCACACCUGCAAGAUGUUGUUCUUCAGGGCGCAGCCCACCGGACCAAAGUCGUAC
Molecule: long non-coding RNA, 524 nt
Organism: Hippocampus zosterae (dwarf seahorse)
Lineage: Eukaryota; Metazoa; Chordata; Actinopteri; Syngnathiformes; Syngnathidae
Exons: 3
Source: RefSeq, a predicted model, not a curated record